UACAUAUUCAAAAGAGUAGGUUUAAGCGAAUAAGCCUGCAAUAUAAAUAUUAGGAUUGUGGAGUGAAGGGAAUCCGGUCAAAUGCCGGAACUGUGCCCGCAGCUGUAGUUUCCAUCCAAAUCCCAGGAUUAUGCCAUUGUUCGCACAAGAAUGAGAAGGCCCGGGGACGGAAAGAGUCAGAAGACCUGCCCAAUCAAGUCAAACAAA
Molecule: non-coding RNA, 207 nt
Filed under: Bacteroides sp.
Lineage: Bacteria; Pseudomonadati; Bacteroidota; Bacteroidia; Bacteroidales; Bacteroidaceae
Source: RNAcentral